CAGCCGCCGCGGGAAUACGUAGGUGGCAAGCGUUGUCCGGAAUUAUUGGGCGUAAAGCGCGCGCAGGCGGAUAGGUCAGUCUGUCUUAAAAGUUCGGGGCUUAACCCCGUGAUGGGAUGGAAACUGCCAAUCUAGAGUAUCGGAGAGGAAAGUGGAAUUCCUAGUGUAGCGGUGAAAUGCGUAGAUAUUAGGAAGAACACCAGUGGCGAAGGCGACUUUCUGGACGAAAACUGACGCUGAGGAGCGAAAGCGCGGGGAGCGAACAGGAUUAGAUACCCCCGUAGUCCCUGUCUCUUAUACA
RNAcentral lists this ribosomal RNA (301 nucleotides) under uncultured bacterium. RNAcentral describes it as "partial 16S ribosomal RNA". It matches the Rfam family "Bacterial small subunit ribosomal RNA", at positions 509 to 808 of the family's 1533-position model. The record is from RNAcentral.